RNAcentral lists this long non-coding RNA (262 nucleotides) under Notechis scutatus (mainland tiger snake). Its description in RNAcentral is "lncRNA (ENSNSUG00000000769.1)". The record is from RNAcentral. Lineage: Eukaryota; Metazoa; Chordata; Lepidosauria; Squamata; Elapidae.
AACAAUGCUUAAUUUUAUAUUUUUUUAGUUCAGUGUCUAUCAGCAUCAAUGCAUUAGCAACUGUAACUUUAGAAGAUUUCAUUAAGCCUUAUUUCACACUGUCUGAAGAAAAGUUAUCAUAUAUUGCCAUGGGAAUAAGUCUAUUAUUUGGUAUAGUAUGUCUAUCCAUGGCUGCAUUAGUAUCUGUUAUGGGUGCUUUAUUACAGGCUGCAUUCAGUGUUUUUGAAUUAAUUGGAGGACCUUUGUUAGGAAUAUAUUCUUU